GUGAACGCUGGCGGUAGGCCUAACCCAUGCCAGUCGAACGGCAGCACAGUAAGAGCUUGCUCUUACGGGUGGCGAGUGGCGGACGGGUGAGGAAUACAUCGGAAUCUACUUUUUCGUGGGGGAUAACGUAGGGAAACUUACGCUAAUACCGCAUACGACCUACGGGUGAAAGCAGGGGAUCUUCGGACCUUGCGCGAUUGAAUGAGCCGAUAUCGGAUUAGCUAGUUGGCGGGGUAAAGGCCCACCAAGGCGACGAUCCGUAGCUGGUCUGAGAGGAUGAUCAGCCACCCUGGAACUGAGACACGGUCCAGACUCCUACGGGAGGCAGCAGUGGGGAAUAUUGGACAAUGGGCGCAAGCCUGAUCCAGCCAUACCGCGUGGGUGAAGAAGGCCUUCGGGUUGUAAAGCCCUUUUGUUGGGAAAGAAAAGCAGCAGGUUAAUACCCCGCUGUUCUGACGGUACCCAAAGAAUAAGCACCGGCUAACUUCGUG
This 491-nucleotide ribosomal RNA is filed under the name uncultured bacterium. Its description in RNAcentral is "partial 16S ribosomal RNA". It matches the Rfam family "Bacterial small subunit ribosomal RNA", at positions 29 to 507 of the family's 1533-position model. The record is from RNAcentral.